UACGUAGGGGGCAAGCGUUGUCCGGAUUUACUGGGCGUAAAGCGCGCGUAGGCGGCUUUGCAAGUCGGGUGUGAAAUCCCCAGGCUUAACCUGGGAACUGCAUUCGAGACUGCAUUGCUAGAGUAUGGGAGAGGGAAGUGGAAUUUCCGGUGUAGCGGUGAAAUGCGUAGAUAUCGGAAGGAACACCAGCGGCGAAGGCGGCGUCCUGGACUGGUACUGACGCUCAGGAGCGAAAGCGUGGGGAGCGAUCCGG
RNAcentral lists this ribosomal RNA (253 nucleotides) under uncultured bacterium. Its description in RNAcentral is "partial 16S ribosomal RNA". It matches the Rfam family "Bacterial small subunit ribosomal RNA", at positions 524 to 776 of the family's 1533-position model. The record is from RNAcentral.